This 490-nucleotide ribosomal RNA is filed under the name uncultured bacterium. RNAcentral describes it as "partial 16S ribosomal RNA". It matches the Rfam family "Bacterial small subunit ribosomal RNA", at positions 30 to 507 of the family's 1533-position model. The record is from RNAcentral.
AUUGAACGCUGGCGGCAGGCCUAACACAUGCAAGUCGAAUGGUAACAGGAAACAGCUUGCUGUUUCGCUGACGAGUGGCGGACGGGUGAGUAAUGUCUGGGAAACUGCCUGAUGGAGGGGGAUAACUACUGGAAACGGUAGCUAAUACCGCAUAACGUCGCAAGACCAAAGAGGGGGACCUUCGGGCCUCUUGCCAUCAGAUGUGCCCAGAUGGGAUUAGCUAGUAGGUGGGGUAACGGCUCACCUAGGCGACGAUCCCUAGCUGGUCUGAGAGGAUGACCAGCCACACUGGGACUGAGACACGGUCCAGACUCCUACGGGAGGCAGCAGUGGGGAAUAUUGCACAAUGGGCGCAAGCCUGAUGCAGCCAUGCCGCGUGUAUGAAGAAGGCCUUCGGGUUGUAAAGUACUUUCAGCGGGGAGGAAGGGAGUAAAGUUAAUACCUUUGCUCAUUGACGUUACCCACAGAAGAAGCACCGGCUAACUCCGUG